UACGUAGGGGUCGAGCGUUGUCCGGAGUUACUGGGCGUAAAGCGCGUGCAGGUGGCUCAUUACGCCCGGCGUGAAAGCCCCCGGCUCAACCGGGGAGGGUCGUCGGGGACGGGUGAGCUUGAGGGUAGCAGGGGCUGGUAGAAUUCCCGGUGUAGUGGUGAAAUGCGUAGAGAUCGGAAGGAAUACCCGUGGCGAAGGCGGCCAGCUGGGCUACACCUGACACUGAGACGCGAAGGCGUGGGGAGCGAACGGG
RNAcentral lists this ribosomal RNA (253 nucleotides) under uncultured bacterium. Its description in RNAcentral is "partial 16S ribosomal RNA". It matches the Rfam family "Bacterial small subunit ribosomal RNA", at positions 524 to 776 of the family's 1533-position model. The record is from RNAcentral.